CGCCCCCUGACGGUGUUUAUAUAGGGGGUUGGGCCUGCCCGGUGAUUUAUUUAAACGGUUGCUGUAAAUGGUGCAAAGGUAGCUUAAUCUCUUGGCCCUUAAUUGGGGUCUUGUGAAUGGUCUGACGAAGGUCCAACUGUGUCACUAUUAAUAUAUGAAAUUUACAACUGGGUGAAAAGGCCUAGAUUUUAGGGUCGGACGAGAAGACCCCGUAGAGCUUUAUUUUUUGGAGAAAUAGUUUUAUCUUGAGAAGAUUUUGUUGGGGCAACACAGAAACAUUCUAAUCUUUCUGAUAAAUAAGUUAGAUUUAUGGAUUUUAGACCCGUAAUUAACGAUAAUUAGAAGUAGUUACCUCGGGGAUAACAGCGUGGUCUUACUUGAGAGGCCUAAUCGAAAGUAAGGUUCGCGACCUCGAUGUUGGACUAGGGCAUCCCCAAGGUGCAGGAGCUUUGGAUGGUAGGUCUGUUCGACCUUUUAGGCCCUACA
This 486-nucleotide ribosomal RNA is filed under the name Poromya illevis. RNAcentral describes it as "partial 16S ribosomal RNA". It matches the Rfam family "Bacterial large subunit ribosomal RNA", at positions 1816 to 2600 of the family's 2925-position model. The record is from RNAcentral. Lineage: Eukaryota; Metazoa; Mollusca; Bivalvia; Poromyidae.